ACAGCAGUCGCCACGGUAAUACGUAGGGCGCAAGCGUUAUCCGGAAUUAUUGGGCGUAAAGAGCUCGUAGGCGGUUUGUCGCGUCUGCCGUGAAAGUCCGGGGCUCAACCCCGGAUCUGCGGUGGGUACGGGCAGACUAGAGUGAUGUAGGGGAGACUGGAAUUCCUGGUGUAGCGGUGAAAUGCGCAGAUAUCAGGAGGAACACCGAUGGCGAAGGCAGGUCUCUGGGCAUUAACUGACGCUGAGGAGCGAAAGCAUGGGGAGCGAACAGGAUUAGAUACCCGCGUAGUCCCUGUCUCUUAUAA
RNAcentral lists this ribosomal RNA (305 nucleotides) under uncultured bacterium. RNAcentral's name for it is "partial 16S ribosomal RNA". It matches the Rfam family "Bacterial small subunit ribosomal RNA", at positions 505 to 809 of the family's 1533-position model. The record is from RNAcentral.